Molecule: long non-coding RNA, 544 nt
Filed under: Rattus norvegicus (Norway rat)
Lineage: Eukaryota; Metazoa; Chordata; Mammalia; Rodentia; Muridae
Description: long non-coding RNA NONRATT013383
Source: RNAcentral
CAGAGGGAGAAUACCUGUUGCUUCUCCGUGCCCCAAGACCUCAGAUACUGAACUUCAGUGCUCCCCUCUCCAGCUGCCUCUACAAAAGGCAAGAAGCAGCUUGCUUCUUCCACCCCUCAAUAGGGGUAGAGAGCCAUGUCAUUUCUGUCAGUUGGACCUGGUCCAGAGGUUGGAUGCAGCAUGGUCUUUCUAAGACAGAGACAGCUUGGCAGCGUGACCUUGGGGUCUUGCCUAUCUCUUUCCAGCUCAUUGACCUGGAGCAAGUUGGAAUGGAAGCUCCAGAGGAGAGAGUAAGGAUGUUGCCAGUAAGCACCUGGCGCCCAGCCUUCCACAGGCUAUAAAAUAAAAGCAGACAAAGACUUCACUGACCCUUAUGAUCACUCUGUUACCAGCCCCAUUUUAUAGAUGAAGAAACUGAGGCCGUCACCUGCCCCAAGCCAGGUCACCUGGAGUUGUACAGGCAACUUUCUGCUACUAUGAUGUUCACAAGUGACAGAAGGACUAUCUUAACCAACCUGAAAUAAACCAGGUUCCUCUUCCUGUC